AUUGAACGCUGGCGGCAUGCCUUACACAUGCAAGUCGAACGGUAACGGGCCUUCGGGUGCCGACGAGUGGCGAACGGGUGAGUAAUACAUCGGAACGUGCCCGAUCGUGGGGGAUAACGAGGCGAAAGCUUUGCUAAUACCGCAUACGAUCUACGGAUGAAAGCAGGGGACCGCAAGGCCUUGCGCGGACGGAGCGGCCGAUGGCAGAUUAGGUAGUUGGUGGGAUAAAAGCUUACCAAGCCGACGAUCUGUAGCUGGUCUGAGAGGAUGAUCAGCCACACUGGGACUGAGACACGGCCCAGACUCCUACGGGAGGCAGCAGUGGGGAAUUUUGGACAAUGGGCGCAAGCCUGAUCCAGCCAUGCCGCGUGCAGGAUGAAGACCUUCGGGUUGUAAACUGCUUUUGUACGGAACGAAAAGCCUUCUUUUAAUACAGGAGGGUCAUGACGGUACCGGAAGAAUAAGCACCGGCUAACUACGUG
RNAcentral lists this ribosomal RNA (482 nucleotides) under uncultured bacterium. Its description in RNAcentral is "partial 16S ribosomal RNA". It matches the Rfam family "Bacterial small subunit ribosomal RNA", at positions 30 to 507 of the family's 1533-position model. The record is from RNAcentral.